RNAcentral lists this ribosomal RNA (204 nucleotides) under uncultured Bacillota bacterium. RNAcentral describes it as "uncultured Firmicutes bacterium partial 16S ribosomal RNA". It matches the Rfam family "Bacterial small subunit ribosomal RNA", at positions 293 to 514 of the family's 1533-position model. The record is from RNAcentral. Lineage: Bacteria; Bacillati; Bacillota.
UGAGAGGUUGAACGGCCACAUUGGGACUGAGACACGGCCCAGACUCCUACGGGAGGCAGCAGUGGGGAAUAUUGCCCAAUGGGGGAAACCCUGAUGCAGAGACGCCGCGUGGAGGAAGAAGGUCUUGGGAUUGUAAACUCCUGUUGCUGAGGAAGAUAAUGACGGUACUCAACAAGGAAGUGACGGCUAACUACGUGCCAGCAG